RNAcentral lists this ribosomal RNA (468 nucleotides) under uncultured bacterium. RNAcentral describes it as "partial 16S ribosomal RNA". It matches the Rfam family "Bacterial small subunit ribosomal RNA", at positions 28 to 507 of the family's 1533-position model. The record is from RNAcentral.
GACGAACGCUGGCGGCGUGCUUAACACAUGCAAGUCGAACGGAAAGGCCCUGCUUUUGUGGGGUGCUCGAGUGGCGAACGGGUGAGUAACACGUGAGUAACCUGCCCUUGACUUUGGGAUAACUUCAGGAAACUGGGGCUAAUACCGGAUAGGAGCUCCUGCUGCAUGGUGGGGGUUGGAAAGUUUCGGCGGUUGGGGAUGGACUCGCGGCUUAUCAGCUUGUUGGUGGGGUAGUGGCUUACCAAGGCUUUGACGGGUAGCCGGCCUGAGAGGGUGACCGGCCACAUUGGGACUGAGAUACGGCCCAGAGUCCUACGGGAGGCAGCAGUGGGGAAUAGUGCACAAUGGGCGGAAGCCUGAUGCAGCAACGCCGCGUGCGGGAUGACGGCCUUCUGGUGGUAGACCGCUUUCGCCUGUGACGAAGCGUGAGUGACGGUAAUGUGUAAAGAAGCACCGGCUAACUACGUG